AAUCCUUGCACAUUGGUUGGAGCAAAUGAAGAGAGCAAGCACGAUAGUAAUUGAAGGAACAUGACACAAGAGAUAGUCAUCCUCAAAGCCGCCAUAUUGUUAUUAGCUUCUCUUUUGGUCGAUGCUUGAUGCUACUAGUACUAAUUGACAUAAAGAUUGGUGUGAUGUUAUUUAUACUAGCCUACUUAAGUCACAAUUAAUAUCACGGAAGUUAAAAGUACUGUAUAGUUUAAGUUUAAAUACAAGUGGUCGUGGUUACAGCAUUGAG
This 268-nucleotide long non-coding RNA is filed under the name Capsella grandiflora. RNAcentral's name for it is "long non-coding RNA (CGRA_LNC000025)". Lineage: Eukaryota; Viridiplantae; Streptophyta; Magnoliopsida; Brassicales; Brassicaceae. The record is from RNAcentral.